GAGCUCCAUCUCGUAUUGGGCUCCCUAUGGCUCUUGAAGCUCCAUCUCAUACUAGGCUCUCUAUCAUGUAGUAAUGUCCUCUCAUCCUCUUCUCUUCCUCUAAAAUAAUCCUAUUACCAUGCAUAACCUUCAGAAUUUCAUCACCAGCUAUCCACCUAUAGUCCUUUGAAUCCAGUCUGCUCAGUGAGAUAAGAUUUCAUCUAAAAUC
This 208-nucleotide long non-coding RNA is filed under the name Elaeis guineensis (African oil palm). RNAcentral's name for it is "long non-coding RNA (EGUI_LNC065925)". The record is from RNAcentral. Lineage: Eukaryota; Viridiplantae; Streptophyta; Magnoliopsida; Arecales; Arecaceae.